RNAcentral lists this ribosomal RNA (549 nucleotides) under uncultured bacterium. Its description in RNAcentral is "bacterial SSU rRNA". It matches the Rfam family "Bacterial small subunit ribosomal RNA", at positions 355 to 896 of the family's 1533-position model. The record is from RNAcentral.
UAGGGAAUCUUCCACAAUGGACGCAAGUCUGAUGGAGCAACGCCGCGUGAGUGAAGAAGGCUUUCGGGUCGUAAAACUCUGUUGUUGGAGAAGAAUGGUCGGCAGAGUAACUGUGUCGGCGUGACGGUAUCCAACCAGAAAGCCACGGCUAACUACGUGCCAGCAGCCGCGGUAAUACGUAGGUGGCAAGCGUUAUCCGGAUUUAUUGGGCGUAAAGCGAGCGCAGGCGGUUUUUUAAGUCUGAUGUGAAAGCCCUCGGCUUAACCGAGGAAGCGCAUCGGAAACUGGGAAACUUGAGUGCAGAAGAGGACAGUGGAACUCCAUGUGUAGCGGUGAAAUGCGUAGAUAUAUGGAAGAACACCAGUGGCGAAGGCGGCUGUCUGGUCUGUAACUGACGCUGAGGCUCGAAAGCAUGGGUAGCGAACAGGAUUAGAUACCCUGGUAGUCCAUGCCGUAAACGAUGAAUGCUAGGUGUUGGAGGGUUUCCGCCCUUCAGUGCCGCAGCUAACGCAUUAAGCAUUCCGCCUGGGGAGUACGACCGCAAGGUUG